AGGUAAGCUACUAAGAGCGAAUGGUGGAUGCCUUGACUGGUAAAGGCGAUGAAGGACGUACUAGACUGCGAUAAGCUACGGGGAGCUGUCAAGAAGCUUUGAUCCGUAGAUUUCCGAAUGGGGCAACCCAAUGUAUAGAGAUAUACAUUACCUAUAUAGGAGCGAACGAGGGGAAUUGAAACAUCUUAGUACCCUCAGGAAAAGAAAUCAAUAGAGAUUGCGUCAGUAGCGGCGAGCGAAAGCGCAAGAGGGCAAACCCAGUGCUUGCACUGGGGGUUGUAGGACUGCAAUGUGCAAGAGGUAAGUUUAGCAGAACAUUCUGGAAAGUAUAACCAUAGAGGGUGAUAGUCCCGUAUGCGAAAAACAAACCUUAGCUAGCAGUAUCCUGAGUAGGGCGGGACACGAGGAAUCCUGUCUGAAUCCGGGUCGACCACGAUCCAACCCUAAAUACUAAUACCAGAUCGAUAGUGCACAAGUACCGUGAGGGAAAGGUGAAAAGAACUGAGGUGAUCAGAGUGAAAUAGAACCUGAAACCAUUUGCUUACAAUCAUUCAGAGCCCUAUGUAGCAAUACAGGGUGAUGGACUGCCUUUUGCAUAAUGAGCCUGCGAGUUGUGGUGUCUGGCAAGGUUAAGCAAACGCGAAGCCGUAGCGAAAGCGAGUCUGAAUAGGGCGCUUAGUCAGAUGCUGCAGACCCGAAACGAAGUGAUCUAUCCAUGAGCAAGUUGAAGCUAGUGUAAGAACUAGUGGAGGACUGAACCCAUAGGCGUUGAAAAGCCCCGGGAUGACUUGUGGAUAGGGGUGAAAGGCCAAUCAAACUUCGUGAUAGCUGGUUCUCUCCGAAAUAUAUUUAGGUAUAGCGUUGUGUCGUAAUAUAAGGGGGUAGAGCACUGAAUGGGCUAGGGCAUACACCAAUGUACCAAACCCUAUCAAACUCCGAAUACCUUAUAUGUAAUCACAGCAGUCAGGCGGCGAGUGAUAAAAUCCGUCGUCAAGAGGGAAACAACCCAGACUACCAGCUAAGGUCCCUAAAUCUUACUUAAGUGGAAAACGAUGUGAAGUUACUUAAACAACCAGGAGGUUGGCUUAGAAGCAGCCAUCCUUUAAAGAAAGCGUAAUAGCUCACUGGUCUAGUGAUUUUGCGCGGAAAAUAUAACGGGGCUAAAGUAAGUACCGAAGCUGUAGACUUAGUUUACUAAGUGGUAGGAGAGCGUUCUAUUUGCGUCGAAGGUAUACCGGUAAGGAGUGCUGGAGCGAAUAGAAGUGAGCAUGCAGGCAUGAGUAGCGAUAAUUAAUGUGAGAAUCAUUAACGCCGUAAACCCAAGGUUUCCUACGCGAUGCUCGUCAUCGUAGGGUUA
Molecule: ribosomal RNA, 1357 nt
Filed under: Campylobacter jejuni
Lineage: Bacteria; Pseudomonadati; Campylobacterota; Epsilonproteobacteria; Campylobacterales; Campylobacteraceae
Description: partial 23S ribosomal RNA
Rfam family: Bacterial large subunit ribosomal RNA
Source: RNAcentral